UACGAAGGGGGCUAGCGUUGCUCGGAAUCACUGGGCGUAAAGCGCACGUAGGCGGAUUGUUAAGUCAGGGGUGAAAUCCUGGAGCUCAACUCCAGAACUGCCUUUGAUACUGGCGAUCUUGAGUCCGGGAGAGGUGAGUGGAACUGCGAGUGUAGAGGUGAAAUUCGUAGAUAUUCGCAAGAACACCAGUGGCGAAGGCAGCUCACUGGCCCGGUACUGACGCUGAGGUGCGAAAGCGUGGGGAGCAAACAGG
This 253-nucleotide ribosomal RNA is filed under the name uncultured bacterium. Its description in RNAcentral is "partial 16S ribosomal RNA". It matches the Rfam family "Bacterial small subunit ribosomal RNA", at positions 524 to 776 of the family's 1533-position model. The record is from RNAcentral.